This 554-nucleotide ribosomal RNA is filed under the name Nematoda sp. ZTSP68. RNAcentral describes it as "SSU rRNA". It matches the Rfam family "Eukaryotic small subunit ribosomal RNA", at positions 123 to 679 of the family's 1831-position model. The record is from RNAcentral. Lineage: Eukaryota; Metazoa; Nematoda.
GAUCUCCGCAAUAACAUGGAUAACUGUGGUAAUUCUAGAGCUAAUACACGCAAUCGAGACUCGACCUCACGGGACAGUCGCAUUUAUUAGUCCAAAACCAAUCGACUUUGUCGUACUUUGGUGAUUCUGAAUAACUACGCUGAUUGCAUGGUUUCAAACCGGCAACCAUUCCUUCAAGUGUCUGCCUUAUCAACUUUCGAUGGUAGUUUAUUUGACUACCAUGGUUUCGACGGGUAACGGAGAAUUAGGGUUCGACUCCGGAGAGGGAGCCUGAGAAACGGCUACCACUUCUAAGGAAGGCAGCAGGCGCGCAAAUUACCCACUCUCAGCACGAGGAGGUAGUGACGAAAAAUAACAAGAUGAUUCACUUAUGUGGGUUAUCAUUGGAAUGAGAACAAUCUAAACCUUUUAACGAGGACCUAGCGGAGGGCAAGUCUGGUGCCAGCAGCCGCGGUAAUUCCAGCUCCGCCAGUGUAUAUCUAUGCUGUUGCGGUUAAAAAGCUCGUAGUUGGAUCUUCGUGUAUGGAUCUGGUCCUCCUAAGGGAGUGCACUGG